AGUGAACGCUGGCGGUAGGCCUAACACGUGCAAGUCGAACGGCAGCACAGGAGAGCUUGCCCUCUAGGUGGCGAGUGGCGGGCGGGUGAGGAAUACAUCGGACUCUGCCCAGUCGCGGGGGAUAACGUAGGGAAACUUACGCUAAUACCGCAUACGACCUUCGGGUGAAAGAGGGGGAUCGCAAGACCUCUCGCGAUUGGAUGAGCCGAUGUCGGAUUAGCUAGUUAGCGGGGUAAUGGCCCACCAAGGCGACGAUCCGUAGCUGGUCUGAGAGGAUGAUCAGCCACACUGGAACUGAGACACGGUCCAGACUCCUACGGGAGGCAGCAGUGGGGAAUAUUGGACAAUGGGCGCAAGCCUGAUCCAGCCAUACCGCGUGGGUGAAGAAGGCCUUCGGGUUGUAAAGCCCUUUUGUUGGGAAAGAAAUCUUUCAGGCUAAUACCCUGGGAGGAUGACGGUACCCAAAGAAUAAGCACCGGCUAACUUCGUG
Molecule: ribosomal RNA, 490 nt
Filed under: uncultured bacterium
Lineage: Bacteria
Description: partial 16S ribosomal RNA
Rfam family: Bacterial small subunit ribosomal RNA
Source: RNAcentral